GUUUGACCACGGGUAACUGAAGCCCAUCACCAGGGAGGGUACCAGCCCAAAUGGAUGCACACACACACACGUGAAGAAUCCUGCUGGGGAGAAGUGGAAGAAAAUGGGUCUUCAUCCUCAUCCUCAGGCUCAGACAACAUUUGUGAAGACACCAGUGUGGCUGAGGAGGUGGAUGGCUCCUCAUCCUGAGGCUCCGAGAUCAUUUCUGAAGAGGCCUGUGUGGCAGAGGAGGUGGAUGGCUCCUCAUCCUGAGGCUCCGAGAUCAUUUCUGAAGAGGCCUGUGUGGCCGAGGAGGUGGAUGGCUCCUCAUCCUGGCCAGUGCCA
RNAcentral lists this long non-coding RNA (324 nucleotides) under Salmo salar (Atlantic salmon). RNAcentral describes it as "lncRNA (ENSSSAG00000107166.1)". Lineage: Eukaryota; Metazoa; Chordata; Actinopteri; Salmoniformes; Salmonidae. The record is from RNAcentral.